Molecule: unclassified non-coding RNA, 336 nt
Filed under: soil metagenome
Description: partial contains 5.8S ribosomal RNA, internal transcribed spacer 2, and large subunit ribosomal RNA
Rfam family: 5.8S ribosomal RNA (bases 1-120)
Source: RNAcentral
GAUGAAGAACGUAGCGAAAUGCGAUAAGUAAUGUGAAUUGCAGAAUCCAGUGAAUCAUCGAAUCUUUGAACGCACAUUGCGCCCGCCAGCAUUCUGGCGGGCAUGCCUGUCCGAGCGUCAUUUCAACCCUCAAGCACUGCUUGGCGUUGGGGCGCUACGCGCUGAGCGUAGGCCCCUAAAAUCAGUGGCGGACCCGCUGUGGCUCCGGGCGUAGUAGCAACACCUGGCCCUGGGACCGCGGCGCGUUCCGGCCGUUAAACCCCCCACUAUAUCGAAGGUUGACCUCGGAUCAGGUAGGAAUACCCGCUGAACUUAAGCAUAUCAAUAAGCGGAGGA